AGCGGAGGAAAAGAAACCAACAGGGAUUGCCCUAGUAACGGCGAGUGAAGCGGCAACAGCUCAAAUUUGAAAUCUGGCUCUUUCAGAGUCCGAGUUGUAAUUUGCAGAGGGCGCUUUGGCUUUGGCAGCGGUCCAAGUUCCUUGGAACAGGACGUCACAGAGGGUGAGAAUCCCGUACGUGGUCGCUAGCUAUUGCCGUGUAAAGCCCCUUCGACGAGUCGAGUUGUUUGGGAAUGCAGCUCUAAAUGGGAGGUAAAUUUCUUCUAAAGCUAAAUAUUGGCCAGAGACCGAUAGCGCACAAGUAGAGUGAUCGAAAGAUGAAAAGCACUUUGGAAAGAGAGUCAAACAGCACGUGAAAUUGUUGAAAGGGAAGCGCUUGCAGCCAGACAUGCUUGCAGUUGCUCAUCCGGGCUUUUGCCCGGUGCACUCUUCUGUAGGCAGGCCAGCAUCAGUUUGGGCGGUGGGAUAAAGGUCUCUGUCACGUACCUCUCUUCGGGGAGGCCUUAUAGGGGAGACGACAUACCACCAGCCUAGACUGAGGUCCGCGCAUCUGCUAGGAUGCUGGCGUAAUGGCUGUAAGCGGCCCGUCUUGAAACACGGACCAAGGAGUCUAACAUCUAUGCGAGUGUUUGGGUGUCAAGCCCGAGCGCGUAAUGAAAGUGAACGGAGGUGGGAACCCGCAAGGGUGCACCAUCGACCGAUCCUGAAGUUUACGGAAGGAUUUGAGUAAGAGCAUGGCUGUUGGGACCCGAAAGAUGGUGAACUAUGCUUGAAUAGGGUGAAGCCAGAGGAAACUCUGGUGGAGGCUCGCAGCGGUUCUGACGUGCAAAUCGAUCGUCAAAUUUGGGCAUAGGGGCGAAAGACUAAUCGAACUAUCUAGU
RNAcentral lists this ribosomal RNA (881 nucleotides) under Bipolaris gigantea. Its description in RNAcentral is "Bipolaris sp. Bl-2019a partial large subunit ribosomal RNA". It matches the Rfam family "Eukaryotic large subunit ribosomal RNA", at positions 49 to 948 of the family's 3401-position model. Lineage: Eukaryota; Fungi; Ascomycota; Dothideomycetes; Pleosporales; Pleosporaceae. The record is from RNAcentral.